GAUGAACGCUGGCGGCGUGCCUAAUACAUGCAAGUCGAGCGAACAGACGAGGAGCUUGCUCCUCUGACGUUAGCGGCUGACGGGUGAGUAACACGUGGAUAACCUACCUAUAAGACUGGGAUAACUUCGGGAAACCGGAGCUAAUACCGGAUAAUAUAUUGAACCGCAUGGUUCAAUAGUGAAAGACGGUUUUGCUGUCACUUAUAGCUGGAUCCGCGCCGCAUUAGCUAGUUGGUAAGGUAACGGCUUACCAAGGCAACGAUGCGUAGCCGACCUGAGAGGGUGAUCGGCCACACUGGAACUGAGACACGGUCCAGACUCCUACGGGAGGCAGCAGUAGGGAAUAUUCCGCAAUGGGCGAAAGCCUGACGGAGCAACGCCGCGUGAGUGAUGAAGGUCUUCGGAUCGUAAAACUCUGUUAUUAGGGAAGAACAAAUGUGUAAGUAACUAUGCACGUCUUGACGGUACCUAAUCAGAAAGCCACGGCUAACUACGUG
Molecule: ribosomal RNA, 497 nt
Filed under: uncultured bacterium
Lineage: Bacteria
Description: partial 16S ribosomal RNA
Rfam family: Bacterial small subunit ribosomal RNA
Source: RNAcentral